RNAcentral lists this ribosomal RNA (815 nucleotides) under uncultured bacterium. RNAcentral describes it as "bacterial SSU rRNA". It matches the Rfam family "Bacterial small subunit ribosomal RNA", at positions 636 to 1450 of the family's 1533-position model. The record is from RNAcentral.
UCUGACUNGAGUGCGGAAGGGGAGAGUGGAAUUCCAUGUGUAGCGGUGAAAUGCGUAGAUAUAUGGAGGAACACCAGUGGCGAAAGCGGCUCUCUGGUCUGUCACUGACGCUGAGGCUCGAAAGCGUGGGUAGCGAACAGGAUUAGAUACCCUGGUAGUCCACGCCGUAAACGAUGAGUGCUAGGUGUUAGGCCCUUUCCGGGGCUUAGUGCCGGAGCUAACGCAAUAAGCACUCCGCCUGGGGAGUACGACCGCAAGGUUGAAACUCAAAGGAAUUGACGGGGGCCCGCACAAGCGGUGGAGCAUGUGGUUUAAUUCGAAGCAACGCGAAGAACCUUACCAGGUCUUGACAUCCCGAUGCUAUUCUUAGAGAUAGGAAGUUAUUUCGGUACAUCGGAGACAGGUGGUGCAUGGUUGUCGUCAGCUCGCGUCGUGAGAUGUUGGGUUAAGUCCCGCAACGAGCGCAACCCUUAUUGUUAGUUGCCAUCAUUAAGUUGGGCACUCUAGCGAGACCGCCGGUAAUAAACCGGAGGAAGGUGGGGAUGACGUCAAAUCAUCAUGCCCCUUAUGACCUGGGCUACACACGUGCUACAAUGGUCGGUACAACGAGUUGCGAGCCGGUGACGGCAAGCUAAUCUCUGAAAGCCGAUCUCAGUUCGGAUUGGAGGCUGCAACUCGCCUCCAUGAAGUCGGAAUCGCUAGUAAUCGCGGAUCAGCACGCCGCGGUGAAUACGUUCCCGGGCCUUGUACACACCGCCCGUCACACCACGAGAGUUUGUAACACCCGAAGUCGGUGAGGUANCCUUUUAGGGGCC